RNAcentral lists this ribosomal RNA (253 nucleotides) under uncultured bacterium. RNAcentral describes it as "partial 16S ribosomal RNA". It matches the Rfam family "Bacterial small subunit ribosomal RNA", at positions 524 to 776 of the family's 1533-position model. The record is from RNAcentral.
UACAGAGGUCUCAAGCGUUGUUCGGAUUCAUUGGGCGUAAAGGGUGCGUAGGCGGCGCGGUAAGUCGGAUGUGAAAUCUUGGAGCUUAACUCCGAAACUGCAUUCGAUACUGCCGUGCUUGAGGACUGGAGAGGAGACUGGAAUUUACGGUGUAGCGGUGAAAUGCGUAGAUAUCGUAGGGAAGACCAGUGGCGAAGGCGGGUCUCUGGACAGUUCCUGACGCUGAGGCACGAAGGCCAGGGGAGCAAACGGG